RNAcentral lists this ribosomal RNA (433 nucleotides) under uncultured bacterium. Its description in RNAcentral is "partial 16S ribosomal RNA". It matches the Rfam family "Bacterial small subunit ribosomal RNA", at positions 29 to 507 of the family's 1533-position model. The record is from RNAcentral.
AACGAACGCUGGCGGCAUGCCUAACACAUGCAAGUCGAACGAGACCUUCGGGUCUAGUGGCGCACGGGUGCGUAACGCGUGGGAACCUGCCCUUAGGUUCGGAAUAACUCCCCGAAAGGGGUGCUAAUACCGGAUAAUGUCUUCGGACCAAAGAUUUAUCGCCUUUGGAUGGUCCCGCGUUGGAUUAGCUAGUUGGUAGGGUAAAAGCCUACCAAGGCGACGAUCAAUAGCUGGUCUGAGAGGCUGAUCAGCCACACUGGGACUGAGACACGGCCCAGACUCCUACGGGAGGCAGCAGUGGGGAAUAUUGGACAAUGGGCGAAAGCCUGAUCCAGCAAUGCCGCGUGAGUGAUGAAGGCCUUAGGGUUGUAAAGCUCUUUUACCCGGGAUGAUAAUGACAGUACCGGGAGAAUAAGCUCCGGCUAACUCCGUG